This 75-nucleotide transfer RNA is filed under the name marine sediment metagenome. RNAcentral's name for it is "tRNA-Ile". It matches the Rfam family "tRNA". From Rfam's summary of the family: Transfer RNA (tRNA) molecules are approximately 80 nucleotides in length. The record is from RNAcentral.
GGAGCAGUAGCUCAGGCUGGCAAGAGCACGGCGCUUAUAACGCCGGGGUCGCAGGUUCGAGUCCUGCCUGCCCUA